RNAcentral lists this ribosomal RNA (274 nucleotides) under uncultured bacterium. RNAcentral describes it as "partial 16S ribosomal RNA". It matches the Rfam family "Bacterial small subunit ribosomal RNA", at positions 523 to 796 of the family's 1533-position model. The record is from RNAcentral.
AUACGGAGGGUGCGAGCGUUAAUCGGAAUUACUGGGCGUAAAGCGUACGUAGGCGGUUGGUUAAGUUAGAUGUGAAAGCCCCGGGCUUAACCUGGGAACUGCAUUUAAAACUGGCGAACUAGAGUUGAGUAGAGGGGAGUGGAAUUUCAGGUGUAGCGGUGAAAUGCGUAGAGAUCUGAAGGAACACCGGUGGCGAAGGCGACUCCCUGGACUCGAACUGACGCUGAGGUACGAAAGCGUGGGUAGCAAACGGGAUUAGAUACCCUAGUAGUCC